RNAcentral lists this ribosomal RNA (161 nucleotides) under uncultured zygomycete. RNAcentral describes it as "partial 18S ribosomal RNA". It matches the Rfam family "Eukaryotic small subunit ribosomal RNA", at positions 1674 to 1831 of the family's 1831-position model. Lineage: Eukaryota; Fungi. The record is from RNAcentral.
CGUCGCUACUACCGAUUGAAUGGUUAUAGUGAGCAUAUGGGAUCAGUAGAAUUAGACUGGCAACAGUCUUUCUCUGCAGAGAACUAUGGCAAACUAGGCUAUUUAGAGGAAGUAAAAGUCGUAACAAGGUUUCCGUAGGUGAACCUGCGGAAGGAUCAUUA